AGCAAGAAAGAGCGGACAUUGUUGUUUAUUUUUUCCAGACAUUCAUUCUUAAUGCGUCACCCAUAGUCCUCUCCACUUAUUGAAACCGACCCCCCCCCCCCCCCCCCGGCAGAUGAAUAAUCAAUACAUGGCGAGCGCCGCAGCGCCCAGCAACACAUAAAUCGGGUCAUGUGACCACGAGUCGUCAGGGGUAAGGGGAGGGGGGUUUGACUCAUCAGAAGGAGUGGAAAAAUACCAAACCGGCAUCCGUGUCUGUCUCCCAACCUUCAGACAGUCGCAUUCCUAACAAUGGCGCAAAGGAAUAUUCGGGACCACACUGCAGCAAAGCAGAUUAGAGAGAGAUGCACCCAGAGUCCUGUGACUCUCAAACAUCCGUGGAAAAAGUGCCAUCUGAAUCCUCUACUAAUGAGCUCACUCUUCUAGAUUAUAUACUCUACAACCCUGUACAACCACCGGCUACCUACAGAUGGAUUUCUUGGUAUUCUGCAUUUACAUUUCCUUGUUUAAAUGUCAAGAAAAACUUCAAACUUGAAGAUCCUGUUUUUGACAGCCUAGUUCCCUUUACCUUGUUAAAAUGUGGUAUG
Molecule: long non-coding RNA, 584 nt
Organism: Alosa sapidissima (American shad)
Lineage: Eukaryota; Metazoa; Chordata; Actinopteri; Clupeiformes; Clupeidae
Exons: 3
Source: RefSeq, a predicted model, not a curated record